UACAGAGGGUGCAAGCGUUAUUCGGAUUUACUGGGCGUAAAGCGCGUGUAGGUGGUUUGGCAAGUCUGGUGUGAAAGCCCCCGAUUCAAUCGGGGAAGUGCAUUGGAUACUGCUAGACUCGAGUGCAGGAGAGGAGGAUGGAAUUCCUGGUGUAGAGGUGAAAUUCGUAGAUAUCAGGAGGAACAACGGAGGCGAAGGCGAUCCUCUGGACUGCAACUGACACUGAGGCGCGAAAGCGUGGGUAG
Molecule: ribosomal RNA, 245 nt
Filed under: uncultured bacterium
Lineage: Bacteria
Description: partial 16S ribosomal RNA
Rfam family: Bacterial small subunit ribosomal RNA
Source: RNAcentral